CGUAGGUGGCCUGUUAAGUCGAACGUGAAAUCCCCGGGCUCAACCCGGGAACUGCGUCCGAGACUGGCAGGCUCGAAUCCGGGAGAGGGAUGCGGAAUUCCAGGUGUAGCGGUGAAAUGCGUAGAUAUCUGGAGGAACACCGGUGGCGAAGGCGGCAUCCUGGACCGGUAUUGACGCUGAGGCGCGAAAGCCAGGGGAGCAAACG
This 205-nucleotide ribosomal RNA is filed under the name uncultured bacterium. RNAcentral describes it as "partial 16S ribosomal RNA". It matches the Rfam family "Bacterial small subunit ribosomal RNA", at positions 570 to 774 of the family's 1533-position model. The record is from RNAcentral.